GCGUAAGAGCUCGUAGGUGGUUCGUCACGUCGGAUGUGAAACUCUGGGGCUUAACCCCAGACCUGCAUUCGAUACGGGCGAGCUUGAGUAUGGUAGGGGAGUCUGGAAUUCCUGGUGUAGCGGUGGAAUGCGCAGAUAUCAGGAGGAACACCAAUGGCGAAGGCAGGACUCUGGGCCAUUACUGACACUGAGGAGCGAAAGCGUGGGGAGCGAACAGGAUUAGAUACCCUGGUAGUCCACGCCGUAAACGGUGGGCACUAGUUGUGGGGACCUUCCACGGUCUCUGCGACGCAGCUAACGCAUUAAGUGCCCCGCCUGGGGAGUACGAUCGCAAGAUUAAAACUCAAAGGAAUUGACGGGGCCCCGCACAAGCAGCGGAGCAUGCGGCUUAAUUCGACGCAACGCGAAGAACCUUACCAAGGCUUGACAUAUACAGGAAUAUGGCAGAGAUGUCAUAGCCGCAAGGUCUGUAUACAGGUGGUGCAUGGUUGUCGUCAGCUCGUGUCGUGAGAUGUUGGGUUAAGUCCCGCAACGAGCGCAACCCUCGUUCUGUGUUGCCAGCAUUUAGUUGGGGACUCACAGGAGACUGCCGGGGUUAACUCGGAGGAAGGUGGGGAUGACGUCAAAUCAUCAUGCCCCUUAUGUCUUGGGCUGCACGUAUGCUACAAUGGCUGGUACAAACGGCUGCAAUACCGCAAGGUGGAGCGAAUCCGAGAAAGCCAGUCUCAG
This 729-nucleotide ribosomal RNA is filed under the name uncultured Actinomycetes bacterium. RNAcentral describes it as "bacterial SSU rRNA". It matches the Rfam family "Bacterial small subunit ribosomal RNA", at positions 558 to 1291 of the family's 1533-position model. Lineage: Bacteria; Bacillati; Actinomycetota; Actinomycetes. The record is from RNAcentral.